Molecule: transfer RNA, 59 nt
Filed under: Longipodacrangonyx sp. 1 MDMBR-2012
Lineage: Eukaryota; Metazoa; Arthropoda; Malacostraca; Amphipoda; Metacrangonyctidae
Description: transfer RNA Cysteine
Source: RNAcentral
UAAUAUGAAGUGAAUAUCACAAUAAGUUGCAAACUUAUUCAUGCUCAAAGCCAUAUUAA